UUUAUGUGUUGAAAAAAUGAACCUUGGUGUUUCAAGUCAUAUUUCCGGCAAUUAAUAGUGAAAAUUAUGUUGUAGAAGGUUUUAUGAGCAGAUAUUCCAAAAUGCUAACUAGCAUGUGUGUGUGUGUGUGUGUGUGUGUUUGGGGGAAAUAUUCAUUAUCACCCCUUGAUAAGC
This is a non-coding RNA of Podarcis lilfordi (Lilford's wall lizard), 174 nucleotides long. The record is from the annotation of a GenBank genome assembly. NCBI's taxonomy places the organism in Eukaryota, Metazoa, Chordata, Lepidosauria, Squamata, Lacertidae.